RNAcentral lists this ribosomal RNA (611 nucleotides) under uncultured bacterium. RNAcentral describes it as "bacterial SSU rRNA". The stretch from base 1 to 520 matches the Rfam family "Bacterial small subunit ribosomal RNA", at positions 338 to 873 of the family's 1533-position model. The record is from RNAcentral.
CCUACGGGAGGCAGCAGUGGGGAAUCUUGCGCAAUGGGCGAAAGCCUGACGCAGCAACGCCGCGUGCGGGAAGAAGGCUUUCGGGCUGUAAACCGCUUUCAGCAGGAACGAAAAUGACGGUACCUGCAGAAGAAGGAGCGGCCAACUAUGUGCCAGCAGCCGCGGUGAUACAUAGGCUUCAAGCGUUGUCCGGAUUUAUUGGGCGUAAAGAGUUCGUAGGCGGUCGAGUAAGUCGGGUGUGAAAAUUCUGGGCUCAACCCAGAGACGCCACCCGAUACUGCUUAACUUGAGUUCGAUAGGGGAGUGGGGAAUUCCUAGUGUAGCGGUGAAAUGCGCAGAUAUUAGGAGGAACACCGGUGGCGAAGGCGCCACUCUGGAUCGAUACUGACGCUGAGGAACGAAAGCAUGGGUAGCAAACAGGAUUAGAUACCCUGGUAGUCCAUGCCGUAAACGGUGGGCACUAGGUGUGGGAUUCUAUUAACGAAUUCCGCGCCGUCGCUAACGCAUUAAGUGCCCCGCCUGGGGGAGGUACGGUCGCGAGACGUAAACGUAACGUAAGAAGUUAAGUACGGCGUUGAGUACGUUGCCGACGGCGACGACGAGGGAGGAGG